RNAcentral lists this ribosomal RNA (253 nucleotides) under uncultured bacterium. RNAcentral's name for it is "partial 16S ribosomal RNA". It matches the Rfam family "Bacterial small subunit ribosomal RNA", at positions 524 to 776 of the family's 1533-position model. The record is from RNAcentral.
UACGAAGGGGGCGAGCGUUGUUCGGAUUUACUGGGCGUAAAGGGCGCGCAGGCGGUUCUGUUUGUCGAGUGUGAAAGCCCCGGGCUCAACCUGGGAACUGCGCUCGAAACGGCGGAACUAGAGUUCGGGAGAGGAGAGUGGAAUUCCCAGUGUAGAGGUGAAAUUCGUAGAUAUUGGGAAGAACACCGGUGGCGAAGGCGGCGACCUGGUCCGAUACUGACGCUGCGGCGCGAAAGCGUGGGGAGCAAACAGG